UGGGGAAUAUUGCACAAUGGGCGCAAGCCUGAUGCAGCCAUGCCGCGUGUAUGAAGAAGGCCUUCGGGUUGUAAAGUACUUUCAGCGGGGAGGAAGGGAGUAAAGUUAAUACCUUUGCUCAUUGACGUUACCCGCAGAAGAAGCACCGGCUAACUCCGUGCCAGCAGCCGCGGUAAUACGGAGGGUGCAAGCGUUAAUCGGAAUUACUGGGCGUAAAGCGCACGCAGGCGGUUUGUUAAGUCAGAUGUGAAAUCCCCGGGCUCAACCUGGGAACUGCAUCUGAUACUGGCAAGCUUGAGUCUCGUAGAGGGGGGUAGAAUUCCAGGUGUAGCGGUGAAAUGCGUAGAGAUCUGGAGGAAUACCGGUGGCGAAGGCGGCCCCCUAGACAAAGACUGACGCUCAGGUGCGAAAGCGUGGGGAGCAAACAGG
Molecule: ribosomal RNA, 429 nt
Filed under: Chloroflexota bacterium
Lineage: Bacteria; Bacillati; Chloroflexota
Description: Chloroflexi bacterium partial 16S ribosomal RNA
Rfam family: Bacterial small subunit ribosomal RNA
Source: RNAcentral